Molecule: ribosomal RNA, 253 nt
Filed under: uncultured bacterium
Lineage: Bacteria
Description: partial 16S ribosomal RNA
Rfam family: Bacterial small subunit ribosomal RNA
Source: RNAcentral
UACGUAGGCAGCAAGCGUUGUUCGGAGUUACUGGGCGUAAAGCGUAUGUAGGCGGUGUCCUAAGUUCGGUGUGAAAUCUCCCGGCUCAACUGGGAGGGUGCGCCGAAGACUGGGAUGCUGGAGUCUCGGAGAGGAACGCGGAAUUCCUGGUGUAGCGGUGAAAUGCGUAGAUAUCAGGAGGAACACCGGUGGCGAAGGCGGUUCUCUGGGCAUUACCUGACGCUGAGGAGCGAAAGCGUGGGGAGCAAACAGG